CCACUUUUGGGAGCCAUGAAGGCGNCCCAGAAUAAGGAACUACUAACUACGUGCCAGCAGUCGCGGUAAUACGUAGGUUCCAAGCGUUACCCGGUUUUAUUGGGCGUAAAGCGUCUGUAGGUGGUUUUUCAAGUCUUAUUUCAAAGACCCCAGCUUAACUGGGGACAGGGGUAGGAGACUGAAAGGCUAGAGUCAUAUCGGGGUUACUGGAAUUGUAGUGUAGGGGUAAAAUCCGUGGAUACUACAAAGAACACCAAGCGCGAAGGCGGGUAACCAGGUACGUACUGACACUGAGAGACGAAAGCUAGGGGAGCAAAUCAGAUUAGAGACCUGAGUAGUCCUAGCCGUAAACAUUGUCUGUUAAUUCUUCCGGUAUUUAUAUCGGGGGGAUGCAAGCUAACGCGUUAAACAGACCGCCUGGGGAGUAUAGCCGCAAGGCCGAAACUCAAACGAAUUGGCGGGGAGGCGCACAACCAGUGGAGCAUGUGGUUCAAUUCGAAACGAAGCGAUGAACCUUACCUGGGUUUGAAAUGUAUCUGCAAGCCUUCAGAAACGGAGGCCGCCUUAGAGGGUGAUACACAGCUGUUGCAUGGCUGUCGUCAGCUCGUGACGUGAGUUGUUCUCUUAAGUGAGGUAACGAGCGCAACCCCUAUCGUAUGUUACUGUGUCAUACGAGACUGCCUAGCAUUAUUUUGUUAGGAGGAAGGAGGGGACGACGUCAAGUCAUCAUGAUGCUUAUAUCCAGGGCUACACACAUCCUACAAUGGAUUGUACAGAGGGUUGCAAGACCGCAAGGUGGAGCUAAUCCCUAAAACAAUCCUCAGUUGGGAUUGCAGGCUGAAACUCGCCUGCAUGAACCCGGAAUUGGUAGUAAUCGCAAAUCAGCAGAUUGCGGUGAAUACGUUCUCGCCUCUUGCACACACUGCCCGUCAAAUCAGCAAAGUUGGAGGGUACCUAACUCUUACAUUAGUAGGAGCA
RNAcentral lists this ribosomal RNA (978 nucleotides) under uncultured bacterium. RNAcentral describes it as "partial 16S ribosomal RNA". It matches the Rfam family "Bacterial small subunit ribosomal RNA", at positions 454 to 1459 of the family's 1533-position model. The record is from RNAcentral.